RNAcentral lists this ribosomal RNA (484 nucleotides) under uncultured bacterium. RNAcentral describes it as "partial 16S ribosomal RNA". It matches the Rfam family "Bacterial small subunit ribosomal RNA", at positions 30 to 507 of the family's 1533-position model. The record is from RNAcentral.
AUUGAACGCUGGCGGCAUGCUUUACACAUGCAAGUCGAACGGCCGCGCGGGCUUCUGCCUGGUGUCGCGUGGCGAACGGGUGAGUAAUUCAUCGGAAAGUGCCCAGUCGUGGGGGAUAGCCCGGCUAAAGCCGGAUUAAUACCGCAUACGACCUGAUGGUGAAAGCGGUGGUCCUAAAGGCCUCGCGCUCUUUGAUCUGCCUAUGUCGUAUUAGCUAGUUGGUGGGGUAAAGGCUUACCAAGGCGACGAUCCGUAGCUGGUCUGAGAGGCCGACCAGCCACACUGGAACUGAGACACGGCCCAGACUCCUACGGGAGGCAGCAGUGGGGAAUUUUGGGCAAUGGGGGCAAGCCUGAUCGAGCAAUGCCGCGUGAGGGAGGAAGGCCUUCGGGUUGUAAAACGCUGUUGUUAGGGAAGAAAACAUGUGGGAUAAAACCCCGGGGGGAUGACGGUACCGGAAGAAUAAGCAACGGCUAACUACGUG